This is a long non-coding RNA of Herpailurus yagouaroundi (jaguarundi), 2516 nucleotides long. RefSeq lists it as uncharacterized. The transcript has 4 exons. NCBI's taxonomy places the organism in Eukaryota, Metazoa, Chordata, Mammalia, Carnivora, Felidae. The record is from RefSeq and is a predicted model, not a curated record.
CUCUGGGAGUGAGAAGUGACUCACAGUUUUGGUAUCUCCUACGUAAGAGCUUUGGGGGGAUUCCUUGGCUUGCUGACAAGGACAGGAAGAAAGCAGCAGCAGCGAGGUAAAACACGAUUACUUCCAACUGCCUUGUGGAGGAUAUGCAGUCGCUUGGUUCGACUGGAACAGCUUGCCGCUCUCUGAUGGCACGCGGAGGGAGAAUAAUUAAAAAGGCCAGCAUCACUUGCUAAGAAGCUGCUGCAAUGUUACAAAAAUAUCCUGGAAAAAGGAGGUUGAGGAGAUUCGGUUUUCCGUAGACUGGGCUUCUGGCGAUGGUGCCAGGUGACUGUCUUUUGCCAUUUGAACCACCAUGGGGGAGCUAGUCUGGGGUUCCUCUUCUGUUGUCACCCAGCUGUGGCAUGAACUCUACAUCUCAAGUGGGUAAGAAAAAAAAAAAAGAUAGAAAUCCCCAGAAGAGAGAUCCUGCACGUAGUUUGGAAGAAAUUUUUCCCAUGGCACCUGAUAUAACUUCAGCAGGAAAAGGCAUCUCAGCAGAUGGUAACGGGCAGCAAGGAGGCCCCCCUCUCACACAAGUACAAUAGGGCCUUCCAAUUUCCAAGGUGUUCUUCAUGCGUAUUAUCCUGUUUAAUUCUCACUACAACCCAGCAAGGCAGAUUGUUUUUAGCUUGUUUUGCAUGUGAGGAUAUGCAGGCUCUGGGAGAUGACGAAACUGCAUCAAGUUGGAAGCUGGUAAGAGGCAUUCACGGAUUCUGAGUCUUAGCCUCAUGCUGUUUCAUUAUUCUUCAUAGAUUCUUCUAGAAAUAUCCUCUUCAGAACCCCUUACCCAAGGCUUCCUCUAUUCUUGAUCCUCUCUCAUCCUCCCCACCCUUACUCCCUCACUAUCAGGUUCUCAUUUUGUAAUCUGUGUAAUUUGUAGUCACGUGCAAUUUGAAAAUGCUCCUUAUACCCUGCCAGCAGUUAAGAACCAGGGCUAAGUUCCAACUGGCAAUGGCAGAAACCUUCUUUAACUUUUCACUUUUCUCUUAUCUGCCCCCCCACCCCCUUGUUCCCUUGAAAGUCAGGUUUAUCCACAGCCAGUCUACAUUUGCCCUGUUUUUAGCUCUUUGCUUUCUUUUGCAUCUCUAACAAAGCACUCUGCUUCCAUUUCUACUCCCCAUUAAAACUACCUCAGGUCAUUAAUGACCAAUUCAAUUGUACUUUCCUUCCCCAUAGUUACAGUCUCUUGACCACUCCCUCCUCCAUGACACUCUUGUCUUCUUUCCUAUCUGAUACGAUGCUAUGCUAGAUUUCCUCCUUUAUUUAUGGCUGCUUCAUCUCAGACUUAUUCUUCCUUUUUAAUCCCUUUAAUAUUAGUGUUCCCCCAAGUGGUUUCUGUGGUUCUCCUCUAUUCUCAACUGCCUUGUGUAAAUGUAAACCCUUGAUUUCAAUAGUCAUCUCUAAACUAAUCAUCAAAUUCUCAUCUCCAGCCCAAACCACUCUCCUGAACUCAGCUCUGGAUAUCUGGCUGCCUGCUGACAUCUCCUCAGGCACUCCUAACUCAAUACCCUCUAAACUUACCAUCAUCCCCAAACCUUCUCCUUCUGGAUCCCUUUUCCUUCACCCCUCUCACUGCCAACUGCUCUUUGAGUUCUUUCAAUACUACUUUCUUAAUUUCUCUCUAACCACUCAUUUUCACUAAAUUCUGACUGCUCCUCUCUUGGUUUAUUUUCCCAGUGGCUUUCUAACAGCCCAGCUGUUCUCUUCAUUCUCAGACAAGCCCAGCCCACAAUGCAUUCUCUGUACUACUUCUAACUCAUCUAUAGAACAUGCAAAUAUGACCAUUUUGCUUGCCUCUGUGAACCUUCAGUGGACUCUUUCUAACUUGGUCUUCAAGGCUCCUCAUGAUCAGGGCCUUGCAUCUUCCCAGCCUUCUUUCUUAAAAUUCUUCCAUUUCUCACCCUAUAUUAUAGGUCACAGAAUACUCAUAGCUCUUUUAUGCCUCUAGGGUUUCAUAAAAUGUUCCUGCCUCAUGGGAUGUUCACCUCUACUUUUUUUCAUUUGGCCAAUUCCUUCACCUUCAUGGUUCUGUUCCAGCAAGAAGCAAUACACCCCCCCCCACCCCACCCAAGACUCCUACUACAGAUUAUAUGCUGCCACAAGCCCUAUACCCCUGCCCGCUGUCCCACAGCAUUUACCCCACUGGCAUAGUAAUCAGGUUCUCCUAUUUGACUGUGAGACACUUAAAGGUAGAGACUGUGACUUUUAUCCCUGUGUUCCCAGAACCCAGCACAGGUUCUGGUGUAUACUGGAUGCUUAAUAUAUUAACAUUACUGUUUUUAUUCUGAGUAUCAUAAAUGCUGUUUUUUUUGAGCUGUCAAAUUACAGGUCCCCCAAAUAAUCAAACUGAGGGAAAUACAGCAACCAUUUCUCAUGGUGGAAAAAAGAUUUCCUAUGGUGCAGUUCUCACUUACAUCAGUUUUUUGACUUCUGUCAGAGAGAGAAAGAGCACAAGUGGGGGAAGGGCAGAGAGAGAG